Molecule: ribosomal RNA, 497 nt
Filed under: uncultured bacterium
Lineage: Bacteria
Description: partial 16S ribosomal RNA
Rfam family: Bacterial small subunit ribosomal RNA
Source: RNAcentral
GAUGAACGCUGGCGGCGUGCCUAAUACAUGCAAGUCGAGCGAACAGGCGAGGAGCUUGCUCCUCUGACGUUAGCGGCGGACGGGUGAGUAACACGUGGAUAACCUACCUAUAAGACUGGGAUAACUUCGGGAAACCGGAGCUAAUACCGGAUAAUAUAUUGAACCGCAUGGUUCAAUAGUGAAAGACGGUUUUGCUGUCACUUAUAGAUGGAUCCGCGCCGCAUUAGCUAGUUGGUAAGGUAACGGCUUACCAAGGCAACGAUGCGUAGCCGACCUGAGAGGGUGAGCGGCCACACUGGAACUGAGACACGGUCCAGACUCCUACGGGAGGCAGCAGUAGGGAAUCUUCCGCAAUGGGCGAAAGCCUGACGGAGCAACGCCGCGUGAGUGAUGAAGGUCUUCGGAUCGUAAAACUCUGUUAUUAGGGAAGAACAAAUGUGUAAGUAACUAUGCACGUCUUGACGGUACCUAAUCAGAAAGCCACGGCUAACUACGUG